CCAAAUUUGUCAUUUCAUUCAAUCUGAAUUGAUAAUUUAUGAGAACAGUUGUAACUACCUGCAUUUACUGGGUUAAUGAAUGACGGAGUACUAUUUUAUAAGAGAUUGUCUGAAUUUGAUGCUGUGCGAUAGGAAUAGUCCGGUCAAUACGAUUGACCGGACUAUUUAUUAUUUAA
This 176-nucleotide unclassified non-coding RNA is filed under the name Moritella viscosa. RNAcentral's name for it is "putative sRNA". Lineage: Bacteria; Pseudomonadati; Pseudomonadota; Gammaproteobacteria; Alteromonadales; Moritellaceae. The record is from RNAcentral.